Molecule: transfer RNA, 62 nt
Filed under: Lamprigera yunnana
Lineage: Eukaryota; Metazoa; Arthropoda; Insecta; Coleoptera; Lampyridae
Description: tRNA-Asn
Source: RNAcentral
UUAAAUGAAACCAAAACGGUAUAUCACUGUUAAUGAUAAAAUUGAAUUUAAUUCCAUUUAAA